Molecule: ribosomal RNA, 718 nt
Filed under: uncultured bacterium
Lineage: Bacteria
Description: bacterial SSU rRNA
Rfam family: Bacterial small subunit ribosomal RNA
Source: RNAcentral
GGCGAACGGGUGAGUAACACGUGGGUGACCUACCUUCGAAUGGGGGAUAACGUUCCGAAAGGGACGCUAAUACCGCAUAACAUCCUGCUUUUGAAGAAGUGGAGAUCAAAGCUGGGGAUCGCAAGACCUGGCGUUUGAAGAGGGGCCCGCGUCCGAUUAGCUAGUUGGUGAGGUAAUGGCUCACCAAGGCAACGAUCGGUAGCCGGCCUGAGAGGGCGGACGGCCACACUGGGACUGAGACACGGCCCAGACUCCUACGGGAGGCAGCAGUGGGGAAUUGUUCGCAAUGGGCGCAAGCCUGACGACGCAACGCCGCGUGGAGGAUGAAGGUCUUCGGAUUGUAAACUCCUGUUGCCCGGGACGAACGUCUCCGACUUAACACGUCGGAGAGUGACGGUACCGGGUGAGGAAGCCCCGGCUAACUCUGUGCCAGCAGCCGCGGCAAUACAGAGGGGGCAAGCGUUGUUCGGAAUUACUGGGCGUAAAGGGCGCGUAGGCGGCCUGCUAAGUCGAACGUGAAAUCCCCGGGCUCAACCCGGGAACUGCGUUCGAGACUGGUGGGCUCGAAUUCGGGAGAGGGAUGCGGAAUUCCAGGUGUAGCGGUGAAAUGCGUAGAUAUCUGGAGGAACACCGGUGGCGAAGGCGGCAUCCUGGACCGACAUUGACGCUGAGGCGCGAAAGCCAGGGGAGCAAACGGGAUUAGAUACCCCGGUAGUCC